AGAAUCAACGCUGGCGGCGUGCCUAACACAUGCAAGUCGAGCGCGAAAGGGGGGGCAACUCCCCAAGUAGAGCGGCGAACGGGUGAGUAACGCGUGGGUCAUCUACCUUCGAGUGGGGAAUAACAGCGGGAAACUGCUGCUAAUACCGCAUGACAUCGCCGGGCCUUACGGCUUGGCGAUCAAAGCCGGGGACCGCAAGGCCUGGCGCUUGAAGAGGAGCCCGCGUCCGAUUAGCUAGUUGGCGGGGUAAUGGCCCACAAGGCGACGAUC
This 270-nucleotide ribosomal RNA is filed under the name uncultured soil bacterium. RNAcentral describes it as "partial 16S ribosomal RNA". It matches the Rfam family "Bacterial small subunit ribosomal RNA", at positions 26 to 281 of the family's 1533-position model. The record is from RNAcentral.